AUGACGGGGUCGGGAGAGGUCGUCGCGCGGUCGGUUGCGCGGACGAGGCCGAAGGGGAGGCAGAAACUCUCAGGCAAAAGGACCGAUCCUCGACG
Molecule: non-coding RNA, 95 nt
Filed under: Olsenella sp. HMSC062G07
Lineage: Bacteria; Bacillati; Actinomycetota; Coriobacteriia; Coriobacteriales; Atopobiaceae
Also listed under: 1 other name
Description: Glycine riboswitch aptamer
Rfam family: Glycine riboswitch aptamer
About the family: This family represents the bacterial glycine riboswitch. Glycine riboswitches usually consist of two metabolite-binding aptamers domains with similar structures in tandem.
Source: Rfam by way of RNAcentral